This 1744-nucleotide long non-coding RNA is filed under the name Triticum aestivum (bread wheat). RNAcentral's name for it is "long non-coding RNA (TAES_LNC020750)". The record is from RNAcentral. Lineage: Eukaryota; Viridiplantae; Streptophyta; Magnoliopsida; Poales; Poaceae.
AAUCUCCUUCAAAUAGUUCUUCUAGUAAAAAAUGUAGCACUGUAAAUUUAGGUAACAGUAUAGUGUAAAAUCUAUCACUGUAAAAUACAAAAAUCACAACCUUUAAGCUACUACUAUAAAUUACAGAAGUUAUAGGAUUGUAAAACUUCAAACAGGGUAGUGUAAAUUCAAACAUAAGGUCACUGUACAUUCAAACAAUCAAAAAAAUUAUAGUGCGGUAAAUUAUAGAAGCUAUAGGACAGUAAAUCCUUCAACAGGUUAGUCAUCAAUUAACUAUAAUUUACUACGAAUACAACAAAAAAGUAGACUUCUAUGAAUACUACAGUACUGUAAAAUCCGAAGGUUGAGGUCGGUCGUGGCGCCCAUGCAUUGCAUCGGAAAAAAAAUCGCACGCCCUUAUGGUUGUCCGGAUCUUCUACUUGAAGACAGCUAAUCAUUACGCCGUCAUCCCGAGCUCUUCCUCGCUUCCCUCAUUGUUUGAUAAUCUAUCCAGCCCUUUUCUAAUGGACCACUUGGCCUGCUGUUUACAAAGCACAUAUCAGCACACUGUAACACUGCCAGUAGUAUUCAUACAUGGAAAGCCCACACAACGUUCAAUCAUUCUUUACCGGGUCUUUCUCUUAUGUUCACGUUGUAACCACACCCCUUAACCCUCCGCACAACUGUCAUUCCUUCUUCACCGGGUCUAUCAUUUGCCAUGUUAUACCCACACUUCACCCUCCUGCUGUUCUAUAUCUGUAAGCAUCUUGUUGAUCCGCUAAGCAUCUUGUUUCAGUAGAUAAGUUGAGUUGUAUAGCCGUCUAACUCGUAUUAUAAUUGGUGCUUCCUGAACCACAUAACAAUUGGACUCUUGCGAUCCUGAAUAAUGAACUGAAUCCGUAACAAAAAAUGUUCAACAUUAAGAAUAUUUAAUUAAAAAAAUCAGGACCUGUGAUGGUUGCAUAUAAUAAAAAGAUUGUUGAACCGGUGAUUGCUAAGAGGUCAAUUUCAUGCAUCAAAUAUAAACUGUAGUAGAAUUUGAUAAUUCUAAGCUUGCAAGGAAACCUGGGUACAAAAAUGACCUAUUGGGUGUCGCCUUCUAGGAAAUCUACCCUGUUCUGAAGGCUUGUGUAGAUGAAUUAUUUUCUAUGUGGAAAGAUAUACUUGUACACGCUGCGCCUUCGCCCACUAAUGGCGGCUAAGAAGCAUGAUCACCUAGAGCACCAUCACUGGAUUUAACCAGAACAAAAGGCAAACAAUUUUAUACAUGAAUAUCUAUAUGACUGCAGUCAAAACUAAAAGUACCUGAUUUUAAAUAUGGGUUGGGUGGCCUGCAGGAGUGCAGUACUUGAGAGACUAUGCUAGUGUAGUAAACAUAAAUUUGGCCGGUUAGCUUCUAUAGGGAAUGCAAAACACUUAUGAAAUAAGAAACAGAGAACAUUUAAGCAGAAAUAAGGUACAUGUUUGCUUACGAAUGGUACUAACAUGAUAUAUUUUCUGCCCGCCGGUAGGAUUAUCAAGCAAGAUCAUCAAAUGUUUCUUUGUAGACCACAUUGUGAGUAUUGCCAACAGUUUUCAGGAGAGUUAUUUUCAGUCAAAGCUGGAAGAUGAAGAGUGACUAAGAAAUACUCACAUUAGUAAAAAUAAAAAUCCUGGGCUGAAAAUUUGAGAUGUACAUAACUACUACAAUGUAGCAACGAACCCAUACUCUUUUUUCAUUAUGACUGCUGCUUUUUGACACUCAAGCGGACAUUUGUAUUGGCGA